GGCACAAACUUGAAGUAGAGUAGGUUGUUAUGGUCAGCUGAUCCUACUAAUCCACUCUACUUCAAAUUUGGGCCC
Molecule: non-coding RNA, 75 nt
Organism: Haemonchus contortus (barber pole worm)
Lineage: Eukaryota; Metazoa; Nematoda; Chromadorea; Rhabditida; Trichostrongylidae
Source: Rfam